GUAGGUGGCAAGCGUUGUCCGGAAUUAUUGGGCGUAAGGCGCGCGCAGGCGGUUCUUUAAGUCUGAUGUGAAAGCCCACGGCUCAACCGUGGAGGGUCAUUGGAAACUGGAGAACUUGAGUACAGAAGAGGAAAGCGGAAUUCCACGUGUAGCGGUGAAAUGCGUAGAGAUGUGGAGGAACACCAGUGGCGAAGGCGGCUUUCUGGUCUGUAACUGACGCUGAGGCGCGAAAGCGUGGGGGAGCAAACAGGAUUAGAUACCCUGGUAGUCCACGCCGUAAACGAUGAGUGCUAAGUGUUAGGGGGUUUCCGCCCCUUAGUGCUGCAGCUAACGCAUUAAGCACUCCGCCUGGGAGUACGGCCGCAAGGCUG
RNAcentral lists this ribosomal RNA (371 nucleotides) under uncultured organism. RNAcentral's name for it is "partial 16S ribosomal RNA". It matches the Rfam family "Bacterial small subunit ribosomal RNA", at positions 527 to 896 of the family's 1533-position model. The record is from RNAcentral.